Molecule: ribosomal RNA, 1173 nt
Filed under: Triticum aestivum (bread wheat)
Lineage: Eukaryota; Viridiplantae; Streptophyta; Magnoliopsida; Poales; Poaceae
Description: partial small subunit ribosomal RNA
Source: RNAcentral
AUGGCGGUGGCCGGCGUCGAGGGCAAGCCGCUGCGGCUGAAGGAUCUCCUGGAGCUGGACUGUGACUCGUGCAGCGCCGCCGGCUUCCGCUGCUACCCGCGCCAUCUCUGCGUCCCAGCAGCGGCGCCGCAGCGAGCGCGCCACAACGCCCUCCACGAGGCGGCCGAGGCGCCUCGCGGCCUCGGGCGAUCGCCCUCCCUGCGGCACCCCUUGCUCUCGAUCAGGACCCUCUCGCGCCGGCUCAGGGACGGCUUCAGCUGGAGGCGCCGGGAGGAGGAGGAGGAGGAGGCGGCGGCACCGGUGCCCGCCGUGAGCAGCGGCAGCAGCAGCUCCGACUCGGAGUCGUCGGAGUCGGGGCCGUCGACCGAGAGGAAAUCCGAGUCCGACUUCUCAGCAAGCUCCACGGAGAGCCUGCACGCCGGCGCCACCUGCACGAGAGAAGAAGAUAAGGAGGCGAUGGACAGGGGAUCCAAGGAGGCGGACGACAAGGAGCAGCUCAGCCCAGUGGCGGUCAUGGACUUCCCGUUCGACGACGACUACGAGGACGACGCCGUGGAAGAGGAGGACGGGAGGGUCGGCGGUACCGGCGCGUGCUCGACCUCUUUCAGCGACAGCCUCGCGCAGCUUCACCAGAGGAGAAAUAUACAGAUGCACUACAAGAUCAGACGACGGUUCGGGAGCGUCGGGGAGGUUGGAGCCGUGGAUCUCGACGAAAGCUUCGCCGCCUCGGACUCCGACGGCCUCGGCACCGUCCCGGUACAGCAGCCAGAGUAUUUCUGCGCAGCAACGGCACCGACAUGUCCCGAGGGUCACCGGAGAGUCGGCGUAUGCGAAGACCCCAACGAGCACAACCUCCUCGGCACCGUCUCGGCGGUCUGCGCCUCCGAGCGGCUCCUACUCGACUUCUUCGCCGAGACGCGAAAGAACGGCACGUCAAAAAACUUUGAAGCCGCGGCGAGAAUGGCCGAGGGAUGGAUCCAAGGCACGGGGGUUCGGUGGGGUCUCAAGGAGGUAUUGUGCGGCCGGGAGCGCCUUGUUGCGGAGAUGGAUCGGAGCCAACGGUGGUCAGCACGCGCCGGCGAGGCGGAAGAGGAGCGUGAGAUCGGCGUGGUAGUGGCGGGCUUGCUCAUCGACGAGCUGGUGACCGACCUGGUCACGGAUCUGCUUAUGUAG